RNAcentral lists this transfer RNA (82 nucleotides) under Mnemiopsis leidyi (sea walnut). Its description in RNAcentral is "tRNA-Ser for anticodon UGA". It matches the Rfam family "tRNA". From Rfam's summary of the family: Transfer RNA (tRNA) molecules are approximately 80 nucleotides in length. Their secondary structure includes four short double-helical elements and three loops (D, anti-codon, and T loops). Lineage: Eukaryota; Metazoa; Ctenophora; Tentaculata; Lobata; Bolinopsidae. The record is from RNAcentral. RNAcentral also lists the same sequence under 1 other name.
GCUGCGAUGGCCGAGUGGUUAAGGCGUCAGACUUGAAAUCUGAUGGGCAAUGCCCGCGCAGGUUCGAACCCUGCUCGCAGCG